GUAACGAAUAGUCAAGGUGCGAACAAAUCAACGCGGUUAGCACGCUGCACAAAGCGUGACAAUAAAAAUAAAUUCUAAAAAUUACCAAAUUAAACGCGAAUUCUCUCAAAUUAUUGCCAGUGAUAGGUCAAGUGUAUUGCCAUCCAAGUGCGUUGGCCAAUUACCAGUUGAGCCACAGCUACAGCUCUCUGCGGGCAGUGGAAAUUACGGCAUCGGCCAAGAUAUACGACAGGAACGCGUCCUAUGCUACGCUCUUUGGCAAAGGUGUGCGUGUGUCUGUGUGUGUGAGUGCUUUGAGUGAGAGCACGCGAGAGUCGAACGCAUUGGUAUUGGUGCCUACGACAACGUGCUACGUGGCGCGUGGCAAAACAUUCGACUUGUUUAAUAAAUAAUACCCCCUUAGAAAGCCAAACUGACAACAACAACAACAACAACAACAGCAGCAACGAAAGUGUGACACUAUUUACAAACAACAAUAUCAACAGGAUUUGAAUAGGCUCGCGUUAAUUGAACACCCAAGUUUUCCGGUCUCCCCAAUCCGAGCUCGUCUCCGUCCCCCGUCUCAGUUAGCCGCGUUAUCAAAUCAAUUUCCCUUUAGGCGACAUCGUUAUUACUCAUACGCCGCCGCGGCCGCGCUGUCGAAAUGUUAGCAUGUGGCGUCGCCGCCGUCGUCGACGUCAUCGUACUAAUGGGUCAGUUUCGCCAUAUGCGAGAGCUUGCAUAAUUUAGCAUUCAUCGUCAGCAUGCCAGUCAACUAUGCACUCAACGCAAGCAACUGAACUUAAUUACUCAACUCAAUUCCAACUAAAUGCACCCAAAACUCUGUGUGAAGCCAGCGACGCCAACGCGACGCGUCCUGCACAGUUUAUGCUAGGCAGAGACGAGGCAAAUUAAAAAAACACAAACUGCAAACUUUUCGAGUGCCUCGAAUGGGUAGUCAUUGUCUGUCUUAAAUCGCACUAACAACAGGCUCGCAUUGUUUCAAGGCUGCAGCUGUAGCUCGUGUCGCUUAUCUGUGUGUGUGCACCUGUGCACAAAAUUCAUACUUACAACGCUGCCAAGUGGCACUUGGCUGGCAGCAGAGCCAACGUUAGCGCCAGCACCACCAACAGUACCAGCAGCAGCAGCAGCGGCGCCAACGUCAACGCGCACGUGCAACAUGCACGCAGUCAGGCAGCCACAAGGAAAGUGAAAACACUCGAAAGUGACUUUUCAGCACGUCAGGCUGACUGGUGAAGCGUAGGUAAGCUACGACGCUGUCGUCAUUGCCGUAGUCAUCUGCGAUAUUCUCACACGGCCAACGACAUUGCCAGCAAUCAGGCCGAGCGCCUACAUUCUUGCCUUACUCCGCCCCUUAGCGUCCGACCUCAGCCACCCGCCCACCUACGAGAAGAGCGCAGUCGAGCAAACACAAACAGUAUAAAAUCCAUUCAACCCACCUGACCCACUCCAGGCUCCGUUAACCGCCAACUAGCGCUUGCAACUGCAGCUCGCCGUGACAGCAACCACAAGCGACAAUAGCAACAAAACCAACAACAACAACAACAACUAUCCGCACAUAGCGUGAAACACAAAAGAGCUUAAAUUGAAUUCAAGUAAUAACGGCGCCCGCCCCCCUCACAUCACGUUCGUGUAUCGUGUGCAGUGUUUAGCCCCCCAUACAAAAGCCAACAGCGCAUAAAAUAUAUACACACAAAAGUAAAAAUCCAAAUAAAUUAUAAAUAAUAAUCAGAAGCAAAAUAAACAAAAGGAAACCCAUGAGCAGCAGCAUCAGCAGAAGCAGCAGCAGAACCCCGUUUGCAAUUAAUUCGAUCAAAAGUAAUUCAACAUCUCGGCCAAUUAAAUUUGGAUUAUUUGAAGUGAAAUCGUUUUCAGUGUCAGUUUGCUCUUAAUUAUCGCCGAACUGUGCGUUCUCUAUAAAUAUACCAAUUGUGGUCGAAAUAGACGCCACAUAUAAAUACAAAUCCGCAUAUCUAUAUCUAUCUAUAGAAUAAACUCAACUUGUUGCGUGGCGUGUGAUUUUAGUUGUUGUUGUUUUUGAAUAUAUAUAUUUUUUUCUUAUUUAUGCGAGUGCGUGUGAGAGUGUGUGUGUAUGUUGUGUUAAGUUUAUUGUUUCCUAAUUUUGUGUGAGUGUAUUUAGGUGCACUCUUUUGCAUGUGGCGCAAUUACUACCAAUUGCUUUUCUACACUAACAGUAGUUUUCUGUUAUCGCGAUAUAUGAACAAAAACAAAAACAAAAACCAAAUCAAAAAGAGAGACGUAGGAGCAACACACAAUACCUAAAACAUUCAUCGACAAACGCUGCUAGACGAACGCGCCAGCCAACAAAGCCGGCUCACAUGUGUGGGUUUCUCUAAAGUGGGUAAGUUUUUGUGUUCGUUAUUGGUGCAAAAAAGUUCCAUAGCAUGAACCAAGCUGUAAGUUUGCACUACGACGAGAAGGAAAACGUAGCGACCAUGAUGUCCUGCCCCUUACCUAUGCCAUUACCGAUACCAAUACCUUCAAUACAUAAAACUGAAUUCACACCGGUUCACAUUGGAGUCAAGG
Drosophila mojavensis is the source of this 2547-nucleotide long non-coding RNA. RefSeq lists it as uncharacterized. The record is from RefSeq and is a predicted model, not a curated record. The transcript is spliced from 6 exons. NCBI's taxonomy places the organism in Eukaryota, Metazoa, Arthropoda, Insecta, Diptera, Drosophilidae.